This 286-nucleotide ribosomal RNA is filed under the name uncultured bacterium. RNAcentral's name for it is "partial 16S ribosomal RNA". It matches the Rfam family "Bacterial small subunit ribosomal RNA", at positions 334 to 616 of the family's 1533-position model. The record is from RNAcentral.
UGGUCCUACGGGAGGCAGCAGUGAGGAAUAUUGGUCAAUGGGCGAGAGCCUGAACCAGCCAAGUCGCGUGAAGGAUGACGGCCCUAUGGGUUGUAAACUUCUUUUGUCAGGGAGCAAUUGAGUCCACGUGUGGGCUUAGCGAGAGUACCUGAAGAAAAAGCAUCGGCUAACUACGUGCCAGCAGCCGCGGUAAUACGUAGGUGGCAAGCGUUGUCCGGAUUUAUUGGGCGUAAAGCGAGUGCAGGCGGUUCAAUAAGUCUGAUGUGAAAGCCUUCGGCCCAACCGG